GACGAACGCUGGCGGCGUGCCUAAUACAUGCAAGUUGAGCGCUGAAGGUUGGUACUUGUACCGACUGGAUGGGCAGCGAACGGGUGAGUAACGCGUGGGGAAUCUGCCUUUGAGCGGGGGACAACAUUUGGAAACGAAUGCUAAUACCGCAUAAAAACUUUAAACUCAAGUUUUAAGUUUGAAAGAUGCAAUUGCAUCACUCAAAGAUGAUCCCGCGUUGUAUUAGCUAGUUGGUGAGGUAAAGGCCCACCAAGGCGAUGAUACAUAGCCGACCUGGAAGGGUGAUCGGCCACAUUGGGACUGAGACACGGCCCAAGCCCCUACGGGAGGCAGCAGUAGGGAAUCUUCGGCAAUGGACGAAAGUCUGACCGAGCAACGCCGCGGGAGUGAAGAAGGGUGUCGGAUCGUAAAACUCUGUUGGUAGAGAAGAACGUUGGUGAGAGUGGAAAGCUCAUCAAGUGACGGUAACUACCCAGAAAGGGACGGCUAACUACGUG
RNAcentral lists this ribosomal RNA (497 nucleotides) under uncultured bacterium. RNAcentral describes it as "partial 16S ribosomal RNA". It matches the Rfam family "Bacterial small subunit ribosomal RNA", at positions 28 to 507 of the family's 1533-position model. The record is from RNAcentral.